GAUGAACGCUAGCGGCAGGCUUAACACAUGCAAGUCGAGGGGCAGCACGAGUAGCAAUACUUGGUGGCGACCGGCGCAAGGGUGCGUAACGCGUGAGCAACAUGCCCGUAUCAGGGGGAUAAUCCAGGGAAACUUGGUCUAAUACCCCAUAGUAAUCAUAUCAGGCAUCUGGUAUGAUUUAAAGCUUAGGUGGAUACGGAUUGGCUCGCGUGACAUUAGCUAGAUGGUAAGGUAACGGCUUACCAUGGCUAUGAUGUCUAGGGGUUCUGAGAGGAAGGUCCCCCACACUGGAACUGAGACACGGUCCAGACUCCUACGGGAGGCAGCAGUAGGGAAUUUUCGGCAAUGGGGGAAACCCUGACCGAGCAAUGCCGCGUGAACGAUGAAGGUCUUCGGAUUGUAAAGCUCUUUCGGACGGAAAGAAAUCGCCGCCUCUAACAUAGGCGGUGGAUGACGGUACCGUAAGAAGAAGCACCGGCUAACUACGUGCCAGCAG
Molecule: ribosomal RNA, 496 nt
Filed under: uncultured bacterium
Lineage: Bacteria
Description: bacterial SSU rRNA
Rfam family: Bacterial small subunit ribosomal RNA
Source: RNAcentral